GACGAACCGUCCAAACGUUGUUCGGAAUCACUGGGCUUAAAGGGUGCGUAGGCAGCUUAUUAAGUCAGUGGUGAAAGCUCCAUGCUUAACAUGGAAAUUGCCAUUGAUACUGAUGAGCUUGAGUAGAUUUGAAGUGGGCGGAAUGUGUCGUGUAGCGGUGAAAUGCUUAGAUAUGACACAGAACACCGAUUGCGUAGGCAGCUCACUAAACUCUUACUGACGCUGAGGCACGAAAGCAUGGGGAUCAAACAGG
This 253-nucleotide ribosomal RNA is filed under the name uncultured bacterium. RNAcentral describes it as "partial 16S ribosomal RNA". It matches the Rfam family "Bacterial small subunit ribosomal RNA", at positions 524 to 776 of the family's 1533-position model. The record is from RNAcentral.